RNAcentral lists this ribosomal RNA (531 nucleotides) under uncultured bacterium. Its description in RNAcentral is "bacterial SSU rRNA". It matches the Rfam family "Bacterial small subunit ribosomal RNA", at positions 777 to 1320 of the family's 1533-position model. The record is from RNAcentral.
AAUAGAUACCCAGGUAGUCCUAGCCGUAAACGAUGAACACUAGGCGUAGUCGGUAUCGACCCCGGCUGUGCCGUAGCUAACGCAUUAAGUGUUCCGCCUGGGGAGUACGGCCGCAAGGCUAAAACUCAAAGGAAUUGACGGGGGCCCGCACAAGCAGCGGAGCGUGUGGUUUAAUUCGUCGCAACGCGAAGAACCUUACCAGGGCUUGACAUGUGGCGGAAAACGGCGGAAACGUCGUCCUCCCGCAAGGGACCGUCAUGCAGGUGUUGCAUGGCUGUCGUCAGUUCGUGUCGUGAGAUAUUGGGUUAAGUCCCGCAACGAGCGCAACCCCCGUGGCAUGUUGUAUCUCUCAUGCCAGACUGCCGAGAGAAACUCGGAGGAAGGUGGGGAUGACGCCAAGUCAGCAUGGCCCUUACGUCCUGGGCUACACACACGCUACAAUGGCCGGUACAACGGGUUGCCAAACCGCGAGGUGGAGCUAAUCCCUUAAAGCCGGUCUCAGUUCGGAUUGCAGGCUGCAACUCGCCUGCA